Molecule: ribosomal RNA, 399 nt
Filed under: uncultured Gammaproteobacteria bacterium
Lineage: Bacteria; Pseudomonadati; Pseudomonadota; Gammaproteobacteria
Description: bacterial SSU rRNA
Rfam family: Bacterial small subunit ribosomal RNA
Source: RNAcentral
GAGUUUGUAUCGUGGCUCAGAUUGAACGCUGGCGGCAGGCCUAACACAUGCAAGUCGAGCGGAUGACGGGGAGCUUGCUCCUUGAUUCAGCGGCGGACGGGUGAGUAAUGCCUAGGAAUCUGCCGUGGUAGUGGGGGACAACGUUUCGAAAGGAACGCUAAUACCGCAUACGUCCGUACGGGAGGAAAGCAGGGGACCUUCGGGCCUUGCGCUAUCAGAUGAGCCUAGGUCGGAUUAGCUAGGUUAGGUGGGGUGAUGGCCUACCAAGGCUUCGACGGGUAGCCGGCCUGAGAGGGUGACCGGCCACACUGGGACUGAGACACGGCCCAGACUCCUACGGGAGACAGCAGGUGGGGAAUAUUGGACGAAUGGGCGAAAGCCUGAUCCAGCAACGCCGCG